AGCCACUCGGCUGCCUGCAGUGGCAGUGGCUACUCUGACGGAUCAAACCCAAGGCCUUCACAGUCAGCCACACCCCGGGCUACUUCUGAGGGGGGCACUGGGCCAGUCUCAGGCUGGGGGUGCAGGGAGCACCCAGGAGGCCUGGGAAGAGGACGGAUCCUUGGACAGUGGGCUGGGACAGCAGGGCCGAAGCGGGCUGGGGCGGGAGGCAGGGUGAUGCCCAGACCUUACUUCUUGCUCUGGGCCCGGGUGCCCAGGAUGGAAGUUUCCAAUGACGGGGUCUUCUGUGUGACACUCCCAGCCGCAGCUGGCCCUGCAGGGCUGUACUGGCCCAGCCUGGACAGAGCAGGCCAGGGUCCAGGGCUCAGCCGCCAGGGUGUGCAGGACCAUGGGCUCAGCACUGCUGAGCCCCACUAGGGACCCGAGGCUACCAGGAGAGGGGACAGAAGGAGCCAGAGAGAGGCCCGAGAGGAACAUGGGCAGGCAGAGGGGAGAGGCCCGGCUGGGGACUCACAGCGAAGGCCAUGGUGCCAGCUCUGCAAGUGGCCAGCCUGGGGAUAACAGGGCGUCCCUCAUGGGGUACAGCGUGCUGAUCCUCGCUGGUGCUCUGGGGUGGCGAGGCUCCAGGCCAGGAGGGAGGCCAGGGCCCUGCAGGGACGGGCUCUGGACCCCUGGCAGAACACUGAGGACUCCGUGGAGGUGUGGAUACCCCUGCACCCUGCAGCCCAGGGAUAGAACUUGGGACCUUGUGCUUGUGAGGCAGGUGGUGGAACCACUGAGCCAAAUCCCCAGCUCUGUUUUUCUUUUUUAGAUGGGCCUCCUGUUGCUGAGAUGCUGUCCCCACGGAAGGUGACCCCUGGAACUGAGCUGCGAAGCCCCCAGGAGCCCGGAGGGCCAGCGACACCAGCCUGGGGCACUUUGGGGGCGAACAGUGGGGUGGAGCCCAAGGCCCACCACGUGGACUCCACCAGGCUGGGCCUGGGCACCUUUCGCUGGCCUUAUCCUGGGCAAGCCCUCGGGGCUCCAGCCAGCGGCCCAAGGAGGACCCGGGCCGGCUCCAGCGAAGCUCCGGGGCUCCCUGCUCCAGUCGUUCCGGCGAGCUGUGGGGCAAGGCCCGGCCGGCCCAGUCCCAGGUUGCCACUGUGCCAAAGGAGCCCUCUGUGGUCACGGGCGGUACCAGCCAGCAGGCAGCAUCCGGGGUGGGGCCUGAGGAGCCGCAGCGGGAGGCAG
RNAcentral lists this long non-coding RNA (1230 nucleotides) under Heterocephalus glaber (naked mole-rat). Its description in RNAcentral is "lncRNA (ENSHGLG00100044400.1)". Lineage: Eukaryota; Metazoa; Chordata; Mammalia; Rodentia; Bathyergidae. The record is from RNAcentral.